AUUGAACGCUGGCGGCAGGCUUAACACAUGCAAGUCGAGCGAGCGGCGGACGGGUGAGUAAUGUCUGGGAAACUGCCUGAUGGAGGGGGAUAACUACUGGAAACGGUAGCUAAUACCGCAUACCAUCAGAUGUGCCCAGAUGGGAUUAGCGAGUAGGUGGGGUAAUGGCUCACCUAGGCGAAGAUCCCUAGCUGGUCUGAGAGGAUGACCAGCCACUGGGGAAAGUGUACACGGUCCAGAUUCCAACGUGAGGCAGCAGUGGGGAAUAUUGCACAUUGGGCGCAGGCCUGAGGCAGCCAUGACGCGGGUAUGAAGAAGGCCUUAGGGUUGUAAAGUACUUUCAGCGGGGAGGCGUUACCCGCAGAAGAAGCACCGGCUAACUCCGUGCCAGCCGCCGCGGUAAUUC
This 406-nucleotide ribosomal RNA is filed under the name uncultured bacterium. Its description in RNAcentral is "partial 16S ribosomal RNA". It matches the Rfam family "Bacterial small subunit ribosomal RNA", at positions 30 to 526 of the family's 1533-position model. The record is from RNAcentral.